UACGGAGGGGGCUAGCGUUGUUCGGAAUUACUGGGCGUAAAGCGCACGUAGGCGGCUUGGAAAGUUGGGGGUGAAAGCCCGGAGCCUAACUCCGGAACUGCCCUCAAAACUCUCAAGCUGGAGUUCGGAAGAGGAGAGUGGAAUUCCCAGUGUAGAGGUGAAAUUCGUAGAUAUUGGGAAGAACACCGGUGGCGAAGGCGGCUCUCUGGUCCGAUACUGACGCUGAGGUGCGAAAGCGUGGGGAGCAAACAGG
This 253-nucleotide ribosomal RNA is filed under the name uncultured bacterium. Its description in RNAcentral is "partial 16S ribosomal RNA". It matches the Rfam family "Bacterial small subunit ribosomal RNA", at positions 524 to 776 of the family's 1533-position model. The record is from RNAcentral.